Corvus hawaiiensis (hawaiian crow) is the source of this 1562-nucleotide long non-coding RNA. RefSeq lists it as uncharacterized. The record is from RefSeq and is a predicted model, not a curated record. The transcript has 11 exons. NCBI's taxonomy places the organism in Eukaryota, Metazoa, Chordata, Aves, Passeriformes, Corvidae.
UGGUACCGCUCCAGGGGAUGGCCCGGGGGCCCCACGGGUGUGGGUGGGUCGCCGAUGGUAGGUGGCGAGGGAGGAUUGAAGUGGAUUGCGCGGCCGGGCCCGGUCCGCGGCCUAGACCGCCGGGGGUUCUACCUCGUGGCGGCCUUGGGGAUGUGUGAGGAGGGUCCCAUAGAGCCCCACACGAGUUUGAGAGGGUAACGGCCCGGGGUAAUACCUCAGGCGUUAAGUUACGGGGUCUUGCCUACUAGCGUGUUACGCGUAAGAUGUGGUCGUGGAAUAUGGCGAGGUCACGUGCCCGCGGUGGCUACAACCAAUAGGUCUUGGUUUUUGUAGGUUUGGAUUUUUUUAACUGCACUGGGCUUUAAGGAGGUUGUUUUUGCAGCUAAAUGGGAAACGUUGUGUGAAAUGCAGUAGUAGCGUUAUGGAAGGAGUAAGGAUCCCUGAACAGCUGGGAUGUGCAUACAGUGUAGAAAGGUUAAGGAUUGCCUUCACAUUCCAAGGUUGUCAGGCUUUGAGAAGCACUUGGACCGGACCGUGCUCUCAGGCACGCGUGGUGACUCUUGGCCAUAGUCCUGUACAAGUGUAAGAGUUGGACUCCGUGGUCCUUGUGGGUCUUAACUCAGCACGUUUAAAGAGAAAUGGCUCACUUCCAUAUGCUCUGCACAUGAUGAAAACUAUGUUGGUAGGGACAUCUGAGAGGGUGAUGAAUGCCAACAUAUCUGAGCUGGGCUUGGAAUACUUAUGGUGGCCUGUCCAGGGUGGCUGAGACACCACGUGGGCCUUUCUAAGCAGCCAAAGUUCAUGCCUGCCCGGCUGACACAUUCAACAUGUAUCAGCUACACUCUUCCUUCUUGUGGCUUCAGUACAGAUCUGCCCCCAAAUGUGGAGACUUGAUAUUACUUCUUCCCAAGGAUUUGAAUCUUGCACUUGAGAGAUAUGCAGAAGGAACAUCACCUGGCACUGGGAGAUUAAGCUACAAGCUGAUACGAGGCUGUUGUGGACAGAGGAGCCCCAUUCCUUUUGUGUGAAAAACUAUUUCACCUGUUACUGAUGUUGGUGAAGACAAGGCCUUCCUAAUUGAAGGCUUCCAAAUAUUUCUCAUUGUAAGGUGUGAUGGAGCUGGGAAGUGAUGCCAGCAAAAGGUGAAACUUGCAUGGAGUUUGUGUGAGAAACAAGAUGGGUGUAUCUGAGGAAGGGAUUGUGCUGUCUGCAGCCCCACUGGGUGAAGAGGCAAAACUCUGAAACUAAUGUAUGAAGAAUUGAGAAAGUGAGUGUAACUGCUGUAAUAAUGAAAUGUAUUUGUUGGAACAAGUGAUGAUAACCUUAGCUUGAACUCUCUCACUGAACAGAGAUGAAAUUCUAAGGUCUGAGAUGUUCCCAGCAAAGUGUGUUGUGCUGGUUUGGUACCUGACAAUGGUUCUUAUGUCUGUCUUAAUAGGUGGAACAUUGCUGAUAAAUGGGUUACACUUGCAUGAACAGCAUUAGAAAAGCUGAUGUGUUUUCACCUCACUGAUAAUGUUUGCCUGACACUGGUUGGAGCCAAUAAAAAUCUGCAAACUCUA